CUGAAGAGUUUGAUCAUGGCUCAGAUUGAACGCUGGCGGCAGGCUUAACACAUGCAAGUCGAGCGGGGGAAGGUAGCUUGCUACUGGACCUAGCGGCGGACGGGUGAGUAAUGCUUAGGAAUCUGCCUAUUAGUGGGGGACAACAUCUCGAAAGGGAUGCUAAUACCGCAUACGUCCUACGGGAGAAAGCAGGGGAUCUUCGGACCUUGCGCUAAUAGAUGAGCCUAAGUCGGAUUAGCUAGUUGGUGGGGUAAAGGCCUACCAAGGCGACGAUCUGUAGCGGGUCUGAGAGGAUGAUCCGCCACACUGGGACUGAGACACGGCCCAGACUCCGGGAGGCAGCAGUGGGGAAUAUUGGACAAUGGGGGGAACCCUGAUCCAGCCAUGCCGCGUGUGUGAAGAAGGCCUUAUGGUUGUAAAGCACUUUAAGCGAGGAGGAGGCUACUUUAGUUAAUACCUAGAGAUAGUGGACGUUACUCGCAGAAUAAGCACCGGCUAACUCUGUGCCAGCAGCCGCGGUAAUACAGAGGGUGCGAGCGUUAAUCGGAUUUACUGGGCGUAAAGCGUGCGUAGGCGGCUUAUUAAGUCGGAUGUGAAAUCCCCGAGCUUAACUUGGGAAUUGCAUUCGAUACUGGUGAGCUAGAGUAUGGGAGAGGAUGGUAGAAUUCCAGGUGUAGCGGUGAAAUGCGUAGAGAUCUGGAGGAAUACCGAUGGCGAAGGCAGCCAUCUGGCCUAAUACUGACGCUGAGGUACGAAAGCAUGGGGAGCAAACAGGAUUAGAUACCCUGGUAGUCCAUGCCGUAAACGAUGUCUACUAGCCGUUGGGGCCUUUGAGGCUUUAGUGGCGCAGCUAACGCGAUAAGUAGACCGCCUGGGGAGUACGGUCGCAAGACUAAAACUCAAAUGAAUUGACGGGGGCCCGCACAAGCGGUGGAGCAUGUGGUUUAAUUCGAUGCAACGCGAAGAACCUUACCUGGCCUUGACAUACUAGAAACUUUCCAGAGAUGGAUUGGUGCCUUCGGGAAUCUAGAUACAGGUGCUGCAUGGCUGUCGUCAGCUCGUGUCGUGAGAUGUUGGGUUAAGUCCCGCAACGAGCGCAACCCUUUUCCUUACUUGCCAGCAUUUCGGAUGGGAACUUUAAGGAUACUGCCAGUGACAAACUGGAGGAAGGCGGGGACGACGUCAAGUCAUCAUGGCCCUUACGGCCAGGGCUACACGUGCUACAAUGGUCGGUACAAAGGGUUGCUACACAGCGAUGUGAUGCUAAUCUCAAAAGCCGAUCGUAGUCCGGAUUGAGUCUGCAACUCGACUCCAUGAAGUCGGAAUCGCUAGUAAUCGCGGAUCAGAAUGCCGCGGUGAAUACGUUCCGGGCCUUGUACACACCGCCCGUCACACCAUGGGAGUUUGUUGCACCAGAAGUAGCUAGCCUAACUGCAAAGAGGGCGGUUACCACGGUGUGGCCGAUGACUGGGGUGAAGUCGUAACAAGGUAGCCGUAGGGGAACCUGCGGCUGGAUCACCUCCUU
RNAcentral lists this ribosomal RNA (1525 nucleotides) under Acinetobacter baumannii. RNAcentral's name for it is "bacterial SSU rRNA". It matches the Rfam family "Bacterial small subunit ribosomal RNA". Lineage: Bacteria; Pseudomonadati; Pseudomonadota; Gammaproteobacteria; Moraxellales; Moraxellaceae. The record is from RNAcentral.